AAUUAAAUAAGCUAUAUAAGCUAACGGGUUCAUACCUCGUAUAAGAGGUGUAUGCCUGAUUA
RNAcentral lists this transfer RNA (62 nucleotides) under Harpactocrates apennicola. RNAcentral's name for it is "tRNA-Met". The record is from RNAcentral. Lineage: Eukaryota; Metazoa; Arthropoda; Arachnida; Araneae; Dysderidae.